RNAcentral lists this long non-coding RNA (1752 nucleotides) under Equus caballus (horse). RNAcentral describes it as "lncRNA (ENSECAG00000051831.1)". Lineage: Eukaryota; Metazoa; Chordata; Mammalia; Perissodactyla; Equidae. The record is from RNAcentral.
UUUAUUUUCUAUGUCUUCUGACUAUACUGCCAGCUGCAUGAGAGCAGGAAUUGGUCUUGUUCAGCACUGGGAAAAGUACCUGGCACACAUUGGUGACCAAUAAGUAUUGUUGAAAGGACAGAUGAGGCAAGGAAUGAGAAGUAUCUGGACGGAAGUCAUCUUUAUCCACGCUGCCUGCACCACCCCCAGGCCAACUCUGUGAGAGGCGCUCGAAAGUGCAUUGUAUUGGAGCCAGCUCGGUGGCAUAGUGGCUGAGUUCAUGCCCUCUGCUUCAGUGGCCCAGGGUUCACGGGCCCAGAUCCUGGGCACGGACCUACACACUGUGCAUCAAGCCAUACUGUGGCAGUGUCCCACAUGCAAAAAACAGAGGAAGAUUGCGAUAGAUGUAGCUCAGUGAAAAUCUUCCUUGAGCAAAAAGAGGAGGAUUGGUGACAGGUGUUAGCUCGGUGACAAUCUUCCUCACCCAAAAAAAUAAAAGAUAAAAUACUGUCAACGAAAAUAAUCCAUAACCAAUCUAUAAAUGAAAAUUUGGGUGUAACUGGUGAUAAAUAUCCAAGUGGACUUGAGAGAACUUGGAAUGCAAUGCCGCCUGCUUCCUGCUCCCGUGGGACCCACGUGACUCUCAUCCCAGAGGAGACACCUGUGCCUCCAACCCGGUGGCUUGCCUCCUCGUCCCUCAGGAUGUAACGACAACGACAAGUUUACUGUGUGAGGUCCCAGGCCGAGCGCCAACGCUGAAUGGUUCAUUCAGACCUCACAUUGUCUGGCACAUUUUCAAGCAUUCUUCCCCGUGUUUUGUAGACAAGAAAACCAAGGCUCCCUGAGGGCCAGGUUAAGUAACUUGUCCAGCUGCUCGCCACGGCGCAAAGAUGAAGCUGAGUUUUGAAAUACCACAUCAUGCGGUAUUUAGAGAAGAAGAUUGAAAAGACUUUUCAGAAGAGGUGGGGAGGGACAAUUUUGACAUUAUCUUUUUUCUCCUUAUCAUAUAAGCAAUGCAUGCUCAUUGUUUGUUUAAUUAAGAAAAAGUCAGAGUUUGAAAAGACAUUAGCAGAGGAGUGGUGGUGAGGUUUCCCCUCAUCUGCCUGUUUCUUUCUAAGAACUAAGGGAAAUGACUGAGCCCUCAGAGGGGAGGGAGGGAGGAGAGAAUGUCCUGGCAUUAAAUCUGAGCGGAGAACAUCGUAACCCUGCAGGGGAGGUGUCCAUCCAUGUGCCGUGCUUCCACACAAGCUUGCAAAGCAUCGGAACCCGUGUUCAUGAUUGGUGGCAGUGGGUCUGAAACAAGCCUGAUUCUCUGGAUUUCUGCAUUUCGGGUGGCCAGGCUCUCUGCACAGCUGUGACAGUGACCCUCCCCCUGACUCAGCUCUAGUUGGACUCCUCUAAGCCUCAAGGCCCCACACUCAGGCUCUGUCUUCCCACAUUUAGCCCAGUUUUAGCGGAAAUCCCCCACCCUCGAUGUUGUCACCUCAGCCUCACUUUAGCAAGAAUCCCGUGGAGUUGGUCUAGCAAGAACGCCCCCAGUCUUGUGUUUCCUCCUAGUAACUUCCCAUCCAUCACCACCCAAUACACACCCUACUCCUUGGCUCUGAAUCCCCACUUGUCCUUAUUGUGUUCAGAGCUGAGCCUCUCAGUCUCUCCCCGCUACUGCAAAACCCCAGUGCUGUGGCCCCUACGCUUGUCAGGAUGGCCCCUGAAUAAAAUCUGCCUUACGGUUCUUUAAUGAGGGUCAUGAAUAUUAUUUUCUUCAACAACUGU